Caenorhabditis elegans is the source of this 200-nucleotide non-coding RNA. Lineage: Eukaryota; Metazoa; Nematoda; Chromadorea; Rhabditida; Rhabditidae. The record is from Ensembl.
CAUUUUUGUUUCUUUUUGUUUAGAUAAAAAUAAUUAAUAGGCCUUGUCGCAUUUUCAAAUUUGUGAACAAUAAAAAUAAACUGCAACGUUUUGAAAUAGUUUGAGAAGGUGACAUGACCAGUCGCUACUACUUCAAGCUUAAUCCAAAAAGUGAAAUACUUGGCUAGCUGUUGGGAACGAUUAGAAGCCCGCUUGGUCUU